GUCCCUGAAGCGUAAUGGAUAGCGCGUUGGACUUUUAAUCCAAAGUGGGUUCGAAUACCACCUUAGAUG
Non-coding RNA from Trichonephila inaurata madagascariensis, 69 nucleotides. The record is from the annotation of a GenBank genome assembly. NCBI's taxonomy places the organism in Eukaryota, Metazoa, Arthropoda, Arachnida, Araneae, Nephilidae.